UACAGAGGUGGCAAGCGUUGUUCGGAAUCACUGGGCAUAAAGGGCGCGUAGGCGGCGAGGCAAGUCGGGUGUGAAAUCCCUCAGCUCAACUGAGGAACUGCGCCCGAAACUACCUUGCUAGAGUGCAGGAGAGGAGAGUGGAACUCCUAGUGGAGCGGUGAAAUGCGUAGAGAUUAGGAGGAACGCCGGUGGCGAAAGCGACUCUCUGGCCUGUAACUGACGCUGAGGCGCGAAAGCUAGGGGAGCAAACGGGAUUAGAUACCCCGGUAGUCCUAGCCGUAAACGAUGGGCACUAAGUAGGGGGGUCUCCGAUGACCUCUCUGCCGGAGCUAAUGUAUUAAGUGCCCCGCCUGGGGAGUAUGGUCGCAAGGCUGAA
Molecule: ribosomal RNA, 376 nt
Filed under: uncultured bacterium
Lineage: Bacteria
Description: bacterial SSU rRNA
Rfam family: Bacterial small subunit ribosomal RNA
Source: RNAcentral